Molecule: ribosomal RNA, 1245 nt
Filed under: metagenome
Description: bacterial LSU rRNA
Rfam family: Bacterial large subunit ribosomal RNA
Source: RNAcentral
UGAAUACGAGACGCUACGGCGUCGAAGCAGUCUAUGUCAUACUUCCAAGAAAAGCUUGCACUGUCAUAAACAAAUAAUGCCUGUACCAUAACCGACACAGGUGGGUAGGUAGAGUAUACUAAGGGGCGCGAGAUAACUCUCUCUAAGGAACUCGGCAAAAUGACUCCGUAACUUCGGGAGAAGGAGUGCCUUAUUUAUAAGGUUGCAAUAACAAGAUCCAAGCAACUGUUUAUCAAAAACACAGGUCUCCGCUAAGUCGUAAGACGAUGUAUGGGGGCUGACGCCUGCCCAGUGCCAGAAGGUUAAAGAAGUUGGUUAGCAUUAGCGAAGCUGAUAACUGAAGCCCUGGUGAACGGCGGCCGUAACGAUAACGGUCCUAAGGUAGCGAAAUUCCUUGUCGGGUAAGUUCCGACCCGCACGAAAGGCGUAAUGAUUUGGAUACUGUCUCAGAGAGGGGCUCGGUGAAAUAGACUUGUCUGUGAAGAUGCGGACUACCUGCACCAGGACAGAAAGACCCUAUGAAGCUUUACUGUAACUUGAAAUUGAAAUUGGACUUUAUUUGCGCAGUAUAGGUGGGAGGCAUUGAUAAUAUUCUUGCGGGAAUGUUGGAGCCAUCAGUGAGAUACCACUCUUGUAAUGUUAGAUUUCUAACUUUGGAUCAUUAUCUGGUCAAAGGACAGUUUCAGGCGGGCAGUUUGACUGGGGCGGUCGCCUCCUAAAUGGUAACGGAGGCGCACAAAGGUUUCCUCUGAACGGGUAGAAAUCGUAUCUAGAGUGUAAAGGCAUAAGGAAGCUUGACUGUGAGACCUACAAGUCGAGCAGGGACGAAAGUCGGUCUUAGUGAUCUGACGGUGCUGAGUGGAAAGGCCGUCACUCAACGGAUAAAAGUUACUCUAGGAUAACAGGCUGAUCUCCCCCAAGAGUUCACAUCGACGGGGAGGUUUGGCACCUCGAUGUCGGCUCAUCGCAUCCUGGGGCGGUAGUACGUCCCAAGGGUUGGGCUGUUCGCCCAUGAAAGCGGUACGCGAGCUGGGUUCAGAACGUCGUGAGACAGUUCGGUCCAUAUCCGGUGUAGGCGUUAGAAUAUUGAGAGGAGCCUUCUUUAGUACGAGAGGACCGAGAAGGACAUACCUCUGGUGUACCAGUUAUCGUGCCAACGGUAAACGCUGGGUAGCUAUGUAUGGAGAGGAUAACCGCUGAAAGCAUCUAAGUGGGAAGCCCACCUCAAGAUAAGUAUUCUCAUCA